AUCUGUAUCCAUACCUCUCUGACAUGCCUGUUCUCAUCUGAUACCUGAAGCUAAGCAGGGUCAGGCCUGAUUAUGGAAAAGAGAGGGUUGAUGACCCUAACUGAAAAAAUCAUUAGCAAAAAAGAAAGUAAAGAAA
Molecule: ribosomal RNA, 136 nt
Filed under: Nannospalax galili (Upper Galilee mountains blind mole rat)
Lineage: Eukaryota; Metazoa; Chordata; Mammalia; Rodentia; Spalacidae
Source: RNAcentral